RNAcentral lists this ribosomal RNA (253 nucleotides) under uncultured bacterium. Its description in RNAcentral is "partial 16S ribosomal RNA". It matches the Rfam family "Bacterial small subunit ribosomal RNA", at positions 524 to 776 of the family's 1533-position model. The record is from RNAcentral.
UACGAAGGGUGCAAGCGUUGUCCGGAAUUAUUGGGCGUAAAGAGCUUGUAGGCGGUUUGUCGCGUCUGCUGUGAAAUUUCGGGGCUCAACCCCGAACUUGCAGUGGGUACGGGCAGACUAGAGUGUGGUAGGGGAGACUGGAAUUCCUGGUGUAGCGGUGAAAUGCGCAGAUAUCAGGAGGAACACCGAUGGCGAAGGCGGGUCUCUGGGCCGAUACUGACGCUGAGGAGCGAAAGCGUGGGGAGCGAACAGG